RNAcentral lists this ribosomal RNA (465 nucleotides) under Vreelandella stevensii. RNAcentral describes it as "partial 16S ribosomal RNA". It matches the Rfam family "Bacterial small subunit ribosomal RNA", at positions 338 to 795 of the family's 1533-position model. Lineage: Bacteria; Pseudomonadati; Pseudomonadota; Gammaproteobacteria; Oceanospirillales; Halomonadaceae. The record is from RNAcentral.
CCUACGCGCGGCAGCAGUGGGGAAUAUUGGACAAUGGGCGAAAGCCUGAUCCAGCCAUGCCGCGUGUGUGAAGAAGGCCUUCGGGUUGUAAAGCACUUUCAGUGGGGAAGAAAGCCUUGGGGCUAAUACCCUCGAGGAAGGACAUCACCCACAGAAGAAGCACCGGCUAACUCCGUGCCAGCAGCCGCGGUAAUACGGAGGGUGCGAGCGUUAAUCGGAAUUACUGGGCGUAAAGCGCGCGUAGGCGGUCUGAUAAGCCGGUUGUGAAAGCCCCGGGCUCAACCUGGGAACGGCAUCCGGAACUGUCAGGCUAGAGUGCAGGAGAGGAAGGUAGAAUUCCCGGGGUAGCGGGUAAAUGCGGAGAGAUCGGGAGGAAUACCAGUGGCGAAGGCGGCCUUCUGGACUGACACUGACGCUGAGGUGCGAAAGCGUGGGUAGCAAACAGGAUUAGAUACCCGAGUAGUC